UACGUAGGUGGCAAGCGUUGUCCGGAUUUACUGGGCGUAAAGAGCGCGCAGGCGGUCGUUCAAGUCGCGUGUGAAAGCCCCCGGCUCAACUGGGGAGGGUCACGCGAUACUGAUCGACUCGAAGGCAGGAGAGGGUAGUGGAAUUCCCGGUGUAGCGGUGAAAUGCGUAGAUAUCUGGAGGAACACCGGUGGCGAAGGCGGCUUCCUGGCCUGCAACUGACGCUGAGACGCGAAAGCGUGGGGAGCGAACCGG
Molecule: ribosomal RNA, 253 nt
Filed under: uncultured bacterium
Lineage: Bacteria
Description: partial 16S ribosomal RNA
Rfam family: Bacterial small subunit ribosomal RNA
Source: RNAcentral